RNAcentral lists this non-coding RNA (31 nucleotides) under Homo sapiens (human). Lineage: Eukaryota; Metazoa; Chordata; Mammalia; Primates; Hominidae. The record is from RNAcentral.
UGUGUGACCAGAAACAGCCUCAGGCCUGUGA